This 858-nucleotide ribosomal RNA is filed under the name Triticum aestivum (bread wheat). RNAcentral's name for it is "partial small subunit ribosomal RNA". Lineage: Eukaryota; Viridiplantae; Streptophyta; Magnoliopsida; Poales; Poaceae. The record is from RNAcentral.
AUGAAAAUUGACAUAUCCAAGGCCUUUGAUACUCUAUCUUGGGAAUUUCUUCUGGAGGUGCUGUCUGCUCGGGGAUUCGGUCGGAGGUGGCAUUCCUGGAUUUGCGGGUUGCUAUCCACUUCCUCCACCUCCGUCCUUAUCAACGGAGAGCUUGGCCCCCCCUUCGCCAUCGGCCAAGGCGUCCGCCAGGGCGACCCUGUUUCCCCGACCUUAUUCAUUCUGGCUAUGGACGCCCUUCACGGCAUGUUGGAAUGGGCAAGGCAGCACCAUCUUUUCUUUGAUCUUGGCUGCGACAGAGGGGUGCCGCGUGCAUCUGUUUUUGCCGAUGACGCGGUUCUGUUCUUCAAGCUAGAGCGUAACGAUCUCCUGCUUAUAUCAACCCUUCUGCAGCUCUUUGGGGAGGCGUCGGGGCUUCGGAUCAAUAUGCACAAGAGCACCAUCACUUGCAUACGAUGUGAUGAGGUGCAGGCUGCAGAGGUAGCUAGACACUUCCAGUGCAGGCAACAGGCCUUUCCUAUCUUAUAUCUCGGUAUACCUCUAUCGAUAUACAGGCUCAAGCGGCACGAGUUGCUGCCCUUGGUUGAUAAGCUCUCGAACAAGAUGAAGGGCUGGAAACCGAAGAUGUUGGUAGUUGCAGGUCGGCUCAUGCUCACCUCUUCGGUCCUCAUGGCACUGCCCAUGCACAUCAUGGCAGCGCUCCCGCUGCCGGCCUGGGCUAUCAAGACUAUCAACCGCCGCUGCCGUGGAUUUAUUUGGAAGGGGGAGGAGGAGACUAGUGGUGGCCGUUGCCUUAUGCCUUGGAGCAGGGUGUGCAUGCUGCGGGAGCUCGGAGGUUUGGGUGUUUUGAAUAUCAAAUAG